CUGUGGAGACCAAGAAAAACAAGACUGUACCCACCUCGGGUCUAGCCCUGAGAUACCUUGUGGGAAAGAAAUCCAGAGGACGAAAGGAAAGGAGAAAUGGCCAGUUCUCAGGGACAGCUGACCUUCAGGGAUGUGGCCAUAGAAUUCUCUGAGGAGGAGUGGGGAUGCCUGACCCACACUCAGCAGCAACUGUACAGGGAUGUAAUGUUAGA
Molecule: long non-coding RNA, 212 nt
Organism: Mustela erminea (ermine)
Lineage: Eukaryota; Metazoa; Chordata; Mammalia; Carnivora; Mustelidae
Exons: 3
Source: RefSeq, a predicted model, not a curated record